GUUGAUCCUGCGGGCGAUUGCUGCUAUCAGGAUUCGACUUAGCCAUGCAAGUCAGGUAGCAAUACCGGCAAACUGCUCAGUAACACGUCGAUAAUCUCCCUAUGGUCGGGGAUAAUCACGGGAAACUGUGUGUAAACCCCGAUGGGAGAAAUGCUCUGGAAUAAGGCUUUCUUUAAAACUCGAGCCAUAGGAUGAGUCGGCGGCCGAUUAGGCUGUUGGCGGUGUAAAGGACCACCAAACCAACGAUCGGUAGGGGCCUUGAAAGAGGUAGCCCCGAGAAGGACACUGAGAUACUGGUCCUAGCCCUACGGGGUGCAGCAGGCGCGAAACCUUUACAAUGCACGAAAGUGUGAUAAGGGGAUCCUGAGUGCUCAUACAAAGUAUGGGCUCUUUUUAAGAGUAAAAAUCUUGAAGAAUAAGUGGUGGGCAAGACUGGUGCCAGCCGCCGCGGUAACACCAGCGCCACAAGUGGCAAUCAUAUAUUUGGCCUUAAGCGUUCGUAGCUGGUCUUGAAAAUCUUUUGUGAAAUUGUUAAUGUCAACUUAACAGCGUGCGAAAGACACUCCAAGACUUGAGACCGGGAGGAGUCAGAGGUAUUCUUGGGGGAACGGUAAAAUGUUAUAAUCCCAAGAGGACCACCAGUGGCGAAGGCGUCUGACUAGAACGGAUCUGACAGUGAGGGACGAAAGCUAGGGGAGCGAUCCGGAUUAGAUACCCGAGUAGUCCUAGCCGUAAACACUGCGAGCUGGGUGUUGCACAAACUACGGGUUUGUGCAGUGUCGAAACGAAGGUGUUAAGCUCGCCGCCUGGGAAGUACGGUCGCAAGACUGAAACUUAAAGGAAUUGGCGGGGGAGCACUACAAGGGGUGCGGCGUGCGGUUUAAUCUAACUCAACGCAGAACAUCUUACUAGUGCCGACGGCAGAAUGAAGGUCAGUCUGAAGGGCUUACCUGACGAGCCGAGAGGUAGUGCAUGGCCGUCGUCAGCUCGUGCCGCAAGGUGUCCAGUUAAGUCUGGCAACGAGCGAGACCUGUAUCUGCAAUUGCUAACGGCUGCAAAGGACUGAGCACAUUGCAGGGACUGCUUCCGAAAGGGAGAGGAAGGUGCAGGCUACGGUAGGUCUGUAUGCUCCGAAUGCACUAGGCUACACGCGCGCAACAAUGGUAAGGACAAUGGGCUACAACCCUGAAAAGGGAAGUCAAUCCUCGAAACCUUACCCUAGUACAAAUUGAGGGUUGGAACUCACCCUCAUGACGUCGGAAUCCCUAGUAAUCAGGGUUCAUCACACCCUGGUGAAUAUGUCCCUGCUCCUUGCACACACCGCCCGUCAAACCAACCGAGCAGGGUUUAGAUGAGUUUUAGUUUUCUUGAUUAAACCGAAUCUAAGCUCAGUGAGGUGGGUUAAGUCGGCACAAGGUA
This 1419-nucleotide ribosomal RNA is filed under the name metagenome. RNAcentral describes it as "bacterial SSU rRNA". It matches the Rfam family "Archaeal small subunit ribosomal RNA". The record is from RNAcentral.